CGAACGGGUGAGUAACGCGUGAGGAACCUGCCUCAAAGAGGGGGACAACAGUUGGAAACGACUGCUAAUACCGCAUAAGCCCACGGGUCGGCAUCGACCUGAGGGAAAAGGAGCAAUCCGCUUUGAGAUGGCCUCGCGUCCGAUUAGCUAGUUGGUGAGGUAAUGGCCCACCAAGGCGACGAUCGGUAGCCGGACUGAGAGGUUGAACGGCCACAUUGGGACUGAGGCACGGCCCAG
This 237-nucleotide ribosomal RNA is filed under the name uncultured bacterium. RNAcentral describes it as "partial 16S ribosomal RNA". It matches the Rfam family "Bacterial small subunit ribosomal RNA", at positions 99 to 334 of the family's 1533-position model. The record is from RNAcentral.